This 312-nucleotide unclassified non-coding RNA is filed under the name uncultured fungus. RNAcentral describes it as "partial contains 5.8S ribosomal RNA and internal transcribed spacer 2". The stretch from base 1 to 133 matches the Rfam family "5.8S ribosomal RNA", at positions 22 to 154 of the family's 154-position model. Lineage: Eukaryota; Fungi. The record is from RNAcentral.
UGGUUCUGGCAUCGAUGAAGAACGCAGCGAAAUGCGAUAAGUAAUGCGAAUUGCAGAAUUCAGUGAGUCAUCGAAUCUUUGAACGCACAUUGCGCCCCUUGGUAUUCCGGGGGGCAUGCCUGUUCGAGCGUCAUUUAACCCCUCAAGCACAGCUUGGUGUUGGGGCCUGCCUCUAGGCAGCCCUUAAAAUCAGUGGCGGUGCCGUCUGGCUCUGAGCGUAGUAAUUCUUCUCGCUAUAGAGUCCUGGCGGAUGCUUGCCAUAACCCCCAAUUUUCUAUGGUUGACCUCGGAUCAGGUAGGGAUACCCGCUGA